This 205-nucleotide small RNA is filed under the name Chinchilla lanigera (long-tailed chinchilla). Its description in RNAcentral is "Disrupted in schizophrenia 2 conserved region (ENSCLAG00000018631.1)". The record is from RNAcentral. Lineage: Eukaryota; Metazoa; Chordata; Mammalia; Rodentia; Chinchillidae.
AAUGCAUCUUAGACUUGGCAGUGUUGAGAAUAAUUUUCCUCCCAAGGCUCCUAUCUGUUUUGUCAUUAUGGGUACAAUAAAGUCUUAGCAAAUGCCGUGGAGUUUCCCUGUAAUGGUAGCUAUUGUUAUGAAGCAUGCACUGAUGUGAUAUAUUUAUUAAUUUUUUGUUUAAUUUUCAUACUUAAAUUUUCCCUUUUUAUUGAGG